This 87-nucleotide non-coding RNA is filed under the name Pseudomonas sp. NFACC48-1. Lineage: Bacteria; Pseudomonadati; Pseudomonadota; Gammaproteobacteria; Pseudomonadales; Pseudomonadaceae. The record is from RNAcentral.
GUGGAAGCGAGCGUGCUCGCGAUAACGGUUGGUCAGCCAAAUCAAUAUAGGCUUGGACACCGUCAUCGCGAGCACGCUCGCUCCUAC